GGGAUAGCUCAGUUGGUAGAACAGGGGACUGAAAAUCUUCGGUCACCUGUUCGAAUCUGGCUCCU
Molecule: transfer RNA, 65 nt
Filed under: Taraxacum kok-saghyz
Lineage: Eukaryota; Viridiplantae; Streptophyta; Magnoliopsida; Asterales; Asteraceae
Also listed under: 1 other name
Description: tRNA-Phe
Source: RNAcentral